GACGAACGCUGGAGGCGUGCUUAACACAUGCAAGUCGAACGAUGAAAUGGAGCUUGCUCCAUGGAUUAGUGGCGAACGGGUGAGUAACACGUGAAUAACCUGCCCUUAAUUUUGGAAUAACCCAGGGAAACCUGGGCUAAUACCGGAUAAGUAAACCUGUGGCAUCACAUGGUUUUGGAAAGUUUUUCGAUUAAGGAUGGAUUCGCGGCCUAUCAGCUUGUUGGUGAGGUAAUGGCUCACCAAGGCGACGACGGGUAGCCGGCCUGAGAGGGUGAACGGCCACACUGGGACUGGGACACGGCCCAGACUCCGACGGGAGGCAGCAGUGGGGAAUAUUGCGCAAUGGACGAAAGUCUGACGCAGCGACGCCUCGUGAGGGACGAAGGUCUUCGGAUUGUAAACCUCUUUCAGCAGGGACGAAGCGAAAGUGACGGUACCUGCAGAAGAAGCACCGGCUAACUAUGUGCCAGCCGCCGCGGUAA
This 482-nucleotide ribosomal RNA is filed under the name uncultured bacterium. Its description in RNAcentral is "partial 16S ribosomal RNA". It matches the Rfam family "Bacterial small subunit ribosomal RNA", at positions 28 to 523 of the family's 1533-position model. The record is from RNAcentral.